Molecule: non-coding RNA, 23 nt
Filed under: Arabidopsis thaliana (thale cress)
Lineage: Eukaryota; Viridiplantae; Streptophyta; Magnoliopsida; Brassicales; Brassicaceae
Source: RNAcentral
UACAACUCAAUGCCAUUAGCAUU